RNAcentral lists this transfer RNA (69 nucleotides) under Rattus norvegicus (Norway rat). It matches the Rfam family "tRNA". Rfam says of the family: Transfer RNA (tRNA) molecules are approximately 80 nucleotides in length. Their secondary structure includes four short double-helical elements and three loops (D, anti-codon, and T loops). Further hydrogen bonds mediate the characteristic L-shaped molecular structure. tRNAs have two regions of fundamental functional importance: the anti-codon, which is responsible for specific mRNA codon recognition, and the 3' end, to which the tRNAs corresponding amino acid is attached (by aminoacyl-tRNA synthetases). tRNAs cope with the degeneracy of the genetic code in two manners: having more than one tRNA (with a specific anti-codon) for a particular amino acid; and 'wobble' base-pairing, i.e. permitting non-standard base-pairing at the 3rd anti-codon position. Lineage: Eukaryota; Metazoa; Chordata; Mammalia; Rodentia; Muridae. The record is from Rfam by way of RNAcentral.
GGGGAUUUAGCUCAGUGGUAGAGCGCUUGCCUAGCAAGCGAUAGGCCCUGGGUUCGGUCCCCAGCUCCG